RNAcentral lists this ribosomal RNA (740 nucleotides) under uncultured bacterium. Its description in RNAcentral is "bacterial SSU rRNA". It matches the Rfam family "Bacterial small subunit ribosomal RNA", at positions 8 to 796 of the family's 1533-position model. The record is from RNAcentral.
AGAGUUUGAUCAUGGCUCAGAGCGAACGCUGGCGGCAGGCUUAACACAUGCAAGUCGAGCGCCCCGCAAGGGGAGCGGCAGACGGGAGAGUAACACGUGGGAACGUACCCUUCGGUUCGGAACAACCCAGGGAAACUUGGGCUAAUACCGGAUACGUCCGUAAGGAGAAAGAUUCAUCGCCGGAGGAUCGGCCCGCGUCUGAUUAGCUUGUUGGUGAGGUAACGGCUCACCAAGGCGACGAUCAGUAGCUGGUCUGAGAGGAUGAUCAGCCUCACUGGGACUGAGACACGGCCCAGACUCCUACGGGAGGCAGCAGUGGGGAAUAUUGGACAAUGGGCGCAAGCCUGAUCCAGCCAUGCCGCGUGGGUGAUGAAGGCCCUAGGGUUGUAAAGCCCUUUCGGCGGGGAAGAUAAUGACGGUACCCGCAGAAGAAGCCCCGGCUAACUUCGUGCCAGCAGCCGCGGUAAUACGAAGGGGGCUAGCGUUGCUCGGAAUCACUGGGCGUAAAGCGCACGUAGGCGGCUUCUUAAGUCAGGGGUGAAAUCCUGGAGCUCAACUCCAGAACUGCCUUUGAUACUGAGGAGCUUGAGUCCGGGAGAGGUGAGUGGAACUGCGAGUGUAGAGGUGAAAUUCGUAGAUAUUCGCAAGAACACCAGUGGCGAAGGCGGCUCACUGGCCCGGUACUGACGCUGAGGUGCGAAAGCGUGGGGAGCAAACAGGAUUAGAUACCCUAGUAGUCC